GAGUCAGCACUCUUAUACUAAAUAAGCAUAACACAGUUUGUUUAUGUUUUGUCUACUGUUUAUUUAAAAGGCAUAACCUGAAAAACUAUCCGUGGAUUAUUGAUCCUAAGAGAAGUCUAUUGCACAGUAGCACUGUCAAUUUCCAUAUACAAUUCAAAUCAGUGCCCUGGUUUUGUUUUGGUAAAUAUAUUAUCAAAAACAAGCUUUAACAACUAUAUAAAUGUAUAAAUAACUGAAAUAUAAACAGUUGCCUUUGGUUUACAAAUGUUCUUCAAGUUGCCCUGAUCCCAUGCCAAAAUCUCUGUAGCAGGUGUCCUAUGUUGCUUGUGGAACUGCAAUCAAAAAGAAAUAUGUAACAUGUAUUUUACCUCUUCCUACCAUCAAAAUCCAUGCAACAAUGCUCACUCAUUGUAGUAGCCAUCAUGGAAAAAAAAGCUGGAGAAAUUCCGAUUUGCUCGAUAAAAGCCACUACGGACCCUGGGCCAAUAUUUAUAAUCCCUUUGGAUGAUGGAACAACCUAUAUGCUGCACUUGAGAAUAAGGAGCAAAAAACCCAGGCCAAUUUAGCCACACCUGGAGCCCGUACUCCUGCCUUAGACGAGCUUCUUUAUUUCCCAACUGCGUUCAGCAGAGCAACACUUACUUCCUGGUAACUUCCUUUGAUCCAGCCCAUUCAUUGUAUGGAAUGACAUCAGUAUGUGGAGUGAAAAUUCAGGUAUCACAGUUAACUUAGAAAAAUAACAAAUUUAGUGACAUAAAUUUUAGUAAAAGUAAAAGCAGUGGUUAUAUUUCUAUGGGAAAAGCUAAUAGUACAGAAUUAUUGUAACAGUUAAAGAUAAGAACAGAUACAAAAAUAACAUGGAGAAGUACAUUUAUCCUUUAUUAUAGCCUUACAUAUUUGUGAAGACCCCCAAAUUUUGGGUUCCUUCCCAAUGAAAAUCCUUAGUGAUAAUUGUUUUGGUUUUAUUUGUAUAGUGCUUUGCUUUUCCUAAAAUACAGUGUUGACUUAUAUUUAAUGUAUUUAAUACAAGGAAUAACUGUUGGAGAUUUUCUGAAGAUGGAGCACUAGUAGCUGAGUUAAACCAUUAAUUGCACAAUAAGCUUAGGAAAACCAUUGUUCAAAUUUAAUGGAACUUAAGAGAUAGCACAGAAGGGCUAUUGUUUCUGAAUUCCCUGGCUGGAAGCUAAUGAGAAACAUGAAUAUCCUGAAGCCAAUCAAUCAAGCCAAUAGAUUAGAGUCUGGCAGCAUUCCCAUCUAAUGGAUAUAGCAGUCAGAGAAACCAUUCUGAGGGUCAUCUGAAAAAGAGAAUGUCCAAUAUGUUCCAAAACCCUUUUCCUUAGAGGCAGAAUUCAGGAAAGGUACCCUGCCUUCAAAGAGAUGAAGGAACUGCAAGUCAAGAGGCCCAAAGAUACUAUAUUUAAAGAAAUCAGUAGCAUUUAACAAAAUCCUGAUUCCCAUACUUUUGUGGGGGAUGGAGGUUGCCUCACCCACCAGAGGUACUGAUGGUCUCACAAAAUGCUUUUCAGUUCACUGAAAAACAAUAUACCAGAUGAACAAUUAUGUGGAGGUUGUCAUCCUAACAUGUUGGUGUUCUCUGUGCAUGUAAUUUUUACUGAAUGAAUUCUUUAAAUAUUCACAUACAUUCUCCCUGCAGGCUAAACUAGAACAAUCAAGGAGCUUAAGUGGAUCAAAACCUCAUAAUCUAAUUUUGUAUUCCUAAUGCCACAUAAUGUUGAGUCUAACCACAUAUGAAUGCCCUUUUUUAACAAAAGUUCAGUAGUUUCAUCCUUGAGGUGAAGAAUUAUAGGAUGGGCCUUUUUACCUGGCAUGGCAAAUGUGUCUGUCUGCGGAGCUAUGCUCUCUGCUUCCUUUUUCUGGACUGCAAUUGGCUCCAAAGGAAGGCAGUACUUUUCUGGACCUUCCUGUACUUGCUGGAAUGCUAGUGGAGCUUCUUGGCUGCUUGACAAACUCUCAUCUAUUCUUACAGGAUAAGGUGGUUCCACCUCUUGGCAGAUGGGCUCCUCAGUGUAUUUCAUGGGUUCCUUCUCAACAAGCCUUGCAAACUCCUUCUUUUUCAGCUGAGCUUCCAGUUGCAGUUUCUGCAAAAUCAAGUUGCACAAGCAGCAGAUGCAGGUGGAGAUUUUGUUUUUUUGUUUUUAACUCUGUAUGUUGCAACCAUGAAGCCCUGUGGAAUAAGGAAUACCUAUAAAACUGAAGUGCGGUGUUUGUAACAAUCUGAAAGGGCUGCCUUCCCUAAUCUGCCACCUUUCAGACAAUGCCAUCUCAGAUGUAUACUGUUGUACUGCUGUUUUUAUAAGGAAGUUAGAAUCCAUUUUAUUUCCCCUUAUCUACUCAAUUUAAGUCAGUCAUCCUGAUACCUUCUAUAUACAAACUCUUGUCUCAGAUCGAAUGGAUUCUACCUCCCUGGACAUUGAAAUUCUGUUUACGCUGCGAGCAAGGUAAGAUCCAAGUUGACUAAUCCCCAUUUUCCUUAACAUAACAUUACUAUGGCUAACCCUUGAAUAACACUGAAUUAGUAUGUGUAUGUGUGUAUGCGUGCGUGUGUGUGUGUAUAAUUUUUUUGUCUACUUCUGUCCUAGAAUCUUACUUUUAGGUCACUAAUGUAAAGUAUUUAAGACAAAAACACAGACGGAGUUUAUACUGGUAACGACAGUGGUAAUAAUAUUCUGUUCUAUUCUUUUAACUUGUGUUUUAUGCCUGGUCUUCCUCUUUUACUUUUAAACAGCUUGUUGAUUGUUUUGUUCUUUGGUUUUUGAUAGAAAUCAACUUUGAACUUAA
Candoia aspera is the source of this 2799-nucleotide long non-coding RNA. RefSeq lists it as uncharacterized. The transcript has 3 exons. The record is from RefSeq and is a predicted model, not a curated record. NCBI's taxonomy places the organism in Eukaryota, Metazoa, Chordata, Lepidosauria, Squamata, Candoiidae.